Molecule: ribosomal RNA, 120 nt
Filed under: Methanobacteriota archaeon
Lineage: Archaea; Methanobacteriati; Methanobacteriota
Also listed under: 2 other names
Source: RNAcentral
GUGCACGGCCAUAGCGGAGGGGCCCUACCCGGUCCCAUAUCGAACCCGGAAGUCAAGCCCUCCUGCGUCGAUUCGGUACUGUGGUGCGCAAGCCCACGGGAAAGAUUGUCGCUGUGCCAC